UGUGUAGGCGGUUUGGUAAGUCUGGUGUGAAAUCUCCCGGCUCAACUGGGAGGGUGCACCGGAAACUGCCGGACUCGAGUGCGGGAGAGGAGAGUGGAAUUCCUGGUGUAGCGGUGAAAUGCGUAGAUAUCAGGAGGAACACCGGUGGUGUAGACGGCUCUCUGGACCGUAACUGACGCUGAAACACGAAAGCGUGGGUAGCAAACAGGAUUAGAUACCCUGGUAGUCCACGCCCUAAACGAUGCAUAUUUGGUGUGGGUCAUUCAGUUGAUCCGUGCCGGAGCUAACGCGUUAAAUAUGCCGCCUGGGGAGUACAGUCGCAAGGCUGAA
RNAcentral lists this ribosomal RNA (330 nucleotides) under uncultured bacterium. RNAcentral's name for it is "bacterial SSU rRNA". It matches the Rfam family "Bacterial small subunit ribosomal RNA", at positions 568 to 898 of the family's 1533-position model. The record is from RNAcentral.